UCUCUGGUAGUAUAUCGGAUAGUACACCCGCCUGUCAUCGUAAGAUGGACGCGGGAAAGCGGGGUUCGAUUCCCCGCCAGAGAG
This 84-nucleotide transfer RNA is filed under the name Suillus luteus UH-Slu-Lm8-n1. Its description in RNAcentral is "tRNA-Asp". It matches the Rfam family "tRNA". From Rfam's summary of the family: Transfer RNA (tRNA) molecules are approximately 80 nucleotides in length. Their secondary structure includes four short double-helical elements and three loops (D, anti-codon, and T loops). Lineage: Eukaryota; Fungi; Basidiomycota; Agaricomycetes; Boletales; Suillaceae. The record is from RNAcentral.